CCCUGUUUACAGGGAGCUUGCAUAGCAGCCCUUCUUUGGCGGUGUUGAAGUUUGGGUCUUGCGCAAUAGGAAUCUACGAAUCUGGUCAGGGCAGGAAUGCAGCAGCCAUAAGAAGAAUCUCCUAUGUGCCGCAAGGGUGCCUGGCGGAGCCGUCGGGAAGGUAACGUGUGCAAGUUCCCUGCAAACAGGG
Molecule: signal recognition particle RNA, 190 nt
Filed under: Lachnospiraceae bacterium
Lineage: Bacteria; Bacillati; Bacillota; Clostridia; Lachnospirales; Lachnospiraceae
Description: signal recognition particle sRNA large type
Rfam family: Bacterial large signal recognition particle RNA
About the family: The signal recognition particle (SRP) is a universally conserved ribonucleoprotein involved in the co-translational targeting of proteins to membranes. Archaeal SRP consists of a 7S RNA and homologues of the eukaryotic SRP19 and SRP54 proteins. In most bacteria, the SRP consists of a 4.5S RNA and the Ffh protein (a homologue of the eukaryotic SRP54 protein).
Source: RNAcentral